Molecule: long non-coding RNA, 489 nt
Filed under: Capra hircus (goat)
Lineage: Eukaryota; Metazoa; Chordata; Mammalia; Artiodactyla; Bovidae
Description: lncRNA (ENSCHIG00000007441.1)
Source: RNAcentral
UGAGGGUCCUGAGGCCUGGACUGUGUCCCCCCUUUGCUGGGUGAUAGGCACCUACGACUUGCAUCAGUCAGUGUCCUGCCACUGACAGAGGCCACACCAACAAAGAGAAGAAGUAAUCUUAUCUCCACCUGAAGCAGUUGCAGGUGCUUGAAACCUCAUAGAAGAAAGCGUCAUGGACACAACGUAAUUGCCCUUGACAAGCCCUGGCUUCUGGACUUCAUAUGAAACCAGAAAAGAAAUAUGGUUUGUGGGGCUUCCCUGGUGGUACAGUGGAUGAGAAUUCGCCUGCCGAUCCAGAGGACAUGGGUUUGAUCCCUGGUGCAGGAAGAUGCCACAUGCCCUGAAGCAGCUAAGCCCGAGCAGCAAAACUACUGAGGCUUGCACGCCUAGAGCCUGUGCUCGGCGACAGAAGAAGCCCGCGUGCCACAAGGGAGAGUAGCCCUGCUCGUUUCAACUGGAGAAAACAGCAACGAAGACCCAGUGCAACCA